UACGUAGGGUGCGAGCGUUAAUCGGAAUUACUGGGCGUAAAGCGUGCGCAGGCGGUUUUGUAAGCCAGAUGUGAAAUCCCCGGGCUUAACCUGGGAAUGGCAUAUGGGACUGCAAGGCUGGAGUGCGGCAGAGGAGACUGGAAUUCCUGGUGUAGCAGUGAAAUGCGUAGAUAUCAGGAGGAACACCGAUGGCGAAGGCAGGUCUCUGGGCUGACACUGACGCUCAUGCACGAAAGCGUGGGGAGCAAACAGG
This 253-nucleotide ribosomal RNA is filed under the name uncultured bacterium. RNAcentral's name for it is "partial 16S ribosomal RNA". It matches the Rfam family "Bacterial small subunit ribosomal RNA", at positions 524 to 776 of the family's 1533-position model. The record is from RNAcentral.